Molecule: long non-coding RNA, 1707 nt
Filed under: Pan troglodytes (chimpanzee)
Lineage: Eukaryota; Metazoa; Chordata; Mammalia; Primates; Hominidae
Description: lincRNA
Source: RNAcentral
AGUCUCUUCUUGCAAGGCCUUUCGCCCCUGGUCUAUGUGCGCCUAGUCCAUGUUGCCUUUCUUUUCCAACACCACCUCGAAGUCCGUGUCUGUUUCCUCCUUUCAGGGGUCUCCUGCUACCCCACUCUCUUUCCUUUUCUUUUUCUUCCUUUUCAGAGCUGGUUCCUCAAUGACUGGCUGCUUUACCUUCUUCUUGGACUUCAUCUUUUUCUUCGCGGGGGUUUUAGGGCCAUCUCCUAUGGGGAUGUAUUCCGGAGCCUCCACUUUGACUGGCUUCUUUUUACUUCGUUUCCUAGGGCAGCUCUCCAUGGACCCGGAGGGCUUGGAGUGGCCUGGGAGGGCGUCUCCCUCCUGGUGGAUUUUUUUUUCUUCUUCGCCUUCCCACCGUGUUCCCUGGGGCUCUUGUGCUUCCGCUUCUGCCCCAAGGCUACCUGUUCCUCACCCUCCUUCCCCACUGAGCAAGUGUCCACAGCAUCCCCGACCUCGCAGAACCAAGGGUCCUGGACUGAGAAAGCUGUGGGGUCCUGGGCCCCCUUUUUUUCCUUCUUAUGUUUUUUAAGCUUCUUGCCAACUCUGGUUUCCUCCUCACCCUGUCUGGGGUCUGGGGAGAUUUUCACCCCAGAGGCAUGGGACAUGGCCAGAGAUGACUUCCUUUUCUUCUGCCCACUGAGGAACUCCAAAUGGCCAAGCACCUGGUUCCUUGGGCUGGAUGACUUCUCUGUCCGUCUGGCACGCAGCGUGGUCUCAGGUUCUACGUGCCCCUCGCAAAGGGUGCUGACACCCUUCUCUUUCUUCUUUUUCUUCACUAGAGGCAUCUCACGUGCCUGCCCGUGGACCACACUCUUAGAGGGGGCUGUGGCUUUUAUAGGAGAAACAUGGGCAAAAUAAUCAUCAUUGUUUAAAAUUGAGUAUUGAGUCCCUGGUUCUUUGACCACUUUCUUCUUUUUCUUCUCUGGGAUCCCAGGGCCCAGGUCUACUUUCCGGUGGGCCAAACUUCCCCGCCUCCACAUGAGAGCCGGCUCCGCCGUGACCCGGAAGUCCACUUUCGGGUUGCACGCGUAGCUUCUCUUACACACAAAUUUUCUUCCACUUCUGCCACCCCUGAGACAGCAAGACUGAUACCUUAUUUUCCUCCUCCUCCUUGGCCUACUCAACAUGAAGAUGAUGAGGAUGACGACCUUUACGAUGAUCCACUUCCAUCUAAUGAUUGAGGCAGUGUCUCACUCUGUUGUCCAGGCUGGAGUGCAGCGAUAUGGUCAUAGCUCACUGCAGCCUCGAACUCCUGGGCUCAAGGGAUCCUGCCACCUCAGCUAAGGCCUGCAGUAGCUAAGACUAUAAUCCCUUAAAUAUUUUAGAAGAGAAGGAGCAAGAGAAGAAGAUCUCAAAAUACUUUUUCAACACUGGCUGGUUUUGAGAAGCUCACUUUCAAAAUUCGAUAUGCACAUUGCAUUUGAUGAGACAGUGGAGAUGGGAUUUCACUGUGUUGGCCAAACUGGUCUCGAACUCCUGACCUCGGGAUCCACCCGCCUCAGCCUCCCAAAGUGCUGGGAUUACAGCCAUGAGCGACCGCGCCCAGCCGUCACAGGAUUUCAUACUUAUUAAGAUCCCUCUUUCUUCUUUAGGAUUCCCAAGUAACUUGUCUCUGCUAUUUUUAAUGUAUAUGACCGAAUAAAUUCAAAAUGAGCCUCAUGAAAAUAGGCUAAGGUC